UCCAUUGCGAAGUGGAAUCUGAAGGAAGUCGGACGCAAACACUCGCACUGACGAACAGAAAUAUCAUACUAAGGCUAUGUAGAAUGGAUGAAUCUGCUGAACAAGAUCUCAUCAGCGGUAUAUUUAUACCGUAGUAACAACGAAUGAUGAGAAGUCAGCAGAAGUC
Staphylococcus pseudintermedius is the source of this 166-nucleotide non-coding RNA. NCBI's taxonomy places the organism in Bacteria, Bacillati, Bacillota, Bacilli, Caryophanales, Staphylococcaceae. The record is from Rfam.